UAGGAUGCAGAGUUGAGCAGCAGGAGUUG
Molecule: non-coding RNA, 29 nt
Filed under: Rattus norvegicus (Norway rat)
Lineage: Eukaryota; Metazoa; Chordata; Mammalia; Rodentia; Muridae
Source: RNAcentral